This 118-nucleotide unclassified non-coding RNA is filed under the name rhizosphere metagenome. RNAcentral describes it as "partial ribosomal RNA internal transcribed spacer region". The record is from RNAcentral.
GUAGGUGAACCUGCGGAAGGAUCAUUAACAGGUAUCCAACGUUAUACCCCCUGUGAACUUUAAUACGCAGACCUUAAAAAAAACCGAACAACUGUUAACAAUGGAUAUCUUGGUUCUC